Molecule: long non-coding RNA, 3710 nt
Organism: Xenopus laevis (African clawed frog)
Lineage: Eukaryota; Metazoa; Chordata; Amphibia; Anura; Pipidae
Exons: 13
Source: RefSeq, a predicted model, not a curated record
UCACUAGGUGGUAUGACACAGUAAAUGACACAUUCUGUCUCCCCUGAAGAGCUGCAGCUCCCUCUACUGGUUAGUGCUUGGAGAUGCUCUAAGGGUUUAGCAAUUGUUUGGGUCGGAGAAGGUGCAGAGUGCUUCUGAGAAGAAUGAAGGGUGUUUGUAAGAUGUGUUUCCUCUAGCGAAAUUUUGUAUUAUCUAUGAUAUAUCUAAGUCUUGUACAGGAAUGUUGAAAAUCUCCAUGUCUCGUUUACUCUUAUAUGCAGCGCACCAAAUAUACUAUAUUUCUAUAUUUGAUAAUAAGAUGAAUACAAGCUAGCUUUCAUUGCAGUUAUCAGCUGGAAUAAGAAGAGGAUAUGUCCUUGUUUACAAGAUCUUAUAUAAAAUAAACAAUUUAGAUACCAAAGUGAACACAACCUGCCUUUUGAAAAGAGUAUGUGCAGACUGUGCUAAUAUUUAGCUUACAUAUUUGACAUAUGUGUAUAAUAAUAAAAAUAAUGUGUUUUUCCAAUAUUCCUUUGUGUGCCUGUUUUUUAUAUUUUAUUUAUGGAUAGGUUUGACCAGGAAUUAGAGUUGUUUGGGUUAGUGGUUUGGUGGUAUGGCUAAAUACGUUAUAUACACAAGUGGUUUUAUGAAAUAAAUAAAAACAUUUCCAAGGCUAUUUUAUAUUCCAUGGAUUACUGCAUAUGUUACCCCAAAAUAAAUUGAUGAAUGAAUAUAUAUAUAAAGGAGCAGCUAAUAUAUUUAAGUGUGUGUUUGUGUGUAUAGAUUAAUAUGACAAAACACCUCUUUGUUAAAAGAUACUUCUGCACACAGGGUUCUACGAAAGGGACUGCUCACAUAUGUAUUCAGCUAACCUUGAUGAAUGUGUGUUUAUUCGUGAGCUAACCAUAGGAAUAUUUAACCUAUAGUUCAUGAUUAUAAAGAUUAUUUGCCUGUCUUGCAGAUAUCUAUUAACUAUCAUACAUGGAAUUCAUUGCUAAUAUGUAGUGCAAAGCAGGGCUUGACUCUGUUGCUAAUUUAGAAAUAACCUGAAGCUGUAAGCAAACAUAAUGAAUUGAGGCGAUGACUUUGGACUGGAUGACCUUGAGAAUCCUACUGUGUUCUCUCAAAAUAUAUGUAUUUCUGUCUUGCUCUUUGUUGGUGAUGUGGAACCCUAAAUAUCCCCUCCCCCCCUCAAACAGAGACACCCAAGUAUUAUCUGCCGUGUCUGUGAUAGAGAGUGUGCAUAUUGUGUUGACUUGCAGGUGAAUAAGGCUGGCGCUAUGUGUGUGUGUAUGUGUGUGUCUAGGACUGAAGCUUUUCCAGAUUAUUGUGUCUAUAAGUUCUGUGUAUAUGGAGGUGUGUGCGUCAGGUACUUGUGUGCCCAAUUCUCCAAAGAUCAUAAAAUGUAUAUAUGUGGCUGUGUCAGAUUUAUGUGUGAUUUAUCGCUAUGUUGGGGGAAGGGGGUUGUAGUGCAAUUUGGGAUGAAAAAUGAAAUUUGUGUGAUAAGAAUGUGAUUCAGCAGCAGCCCAUAAUCAUAUGCGCUUUAAUAAUCUUUAUUUUGCAGGAGUCGGUUUCCAGGGCAACAGAGUGUGAGCCUGCGAUGAGCUCCCUGCUGAACACAGGCGUCUGCAGGCAGGAAUAUCCCGCCAGCUUCUGGUCCUGCACCCAGUGCCCAAAGACCCAUCAGAAUCCAACACAGCUUCAACCAUGUGCUGAGAAUGGCCCUGACCAGUGCAUUACAAGCAUUAGGAGUCCAUUUGAACCGGAGCAUUGAGAUUCCAGCACUCGGAAUUUGGCAUAGCAGGAUAUUCGCUUCUAUACCUCUGUUUUUGAAAAGGAUUCCAAACUACAGGAGCUACAGGAGACCAUCACUGAACUGCAGCAGGAGAUUUCAUUGAAUUACUCAGAGGCAGUGAUCCAUUUGCGCGAAAAGCACUAUUUGGAAAAUCAAGUCAAGGCACAGAGCCAGGCAGUGGGUGGUUUGCAGAAACAGUCGCAAGAGGCAGAGGCAGAGGCAGUGUCCCUCAGAGGGAAAUACAGUAACUCUCAGAUGGAGGGGAGGAAUUACAGGAGCAGGUUAUGGAUCAGGAGCAAAUAAUCCAGGAGUUGCAAAGAGAGAACAGGUCUGCAAUAGACAGCCUGAACAGAUUCAAAGAACAGUCUCUACAAGAGAUUCAAGAGGAAUGAUUAAGGCUUCAAGAACAUUGUCAGCACCUAGAGCAAGAGACGGGCACUCUACUUGCUGAACUGGAAACACAGCGCCUGACACUGACUGAACAGAGCAAUCAGUUGAACCAAAAAGAUCAACAGGCGGAGCAUCAGAUUGCGAGACUUGAGGGUUUUGAGAAAGAAAGUGCAGAUUGCUGAGGAUAAGGUCUUGCAGCAUGAAUCAGAAAUAUGAAGCCUUAGAGAAGAUCUCACAUUGUGUUGAGACCAUUCUAAGGCUGGAGAGAGAGCUGAGUAACAGCAAGGCCCAAAGAGAGGACCUGGAGCAGGAGGUAUCGAGAGAGUGGGAUGAAGAUACAUUUCCAAACCACAACUGUAGAACAACUGCAGGCGCAGGUAUCAGUCAGCUAGUCUGCAAAAGAGAGUGCUUGGGAGAAGAGUUUAAAACUCAAAGAGGAAAGAGAUAUCAUGAGCUCUAUGAUCUGCAAAAGGAGGUGUUCCUGGCUGAGCAACGUAUAAAUGCAGCCCUACAUGAGAAUGAGUCUUUGCUACUUGAUGUCAGUAGGAGGGAUACAGAGCUUCAAGUUCUGAAAGAGCAAUUGCAGACUUCUCAGGAUGCCCUGUAUAAAGCUACACAGGAGAAUGAUGAUUAUAAGCAGGAGGCAGAUAGAAAGGUGGAAGAGAAAGACAAUGAAAUCUCUACAGCGGGAGCUUUCUGAACUACAAGAGGAAUUUGGAUCCUGCAAAGGACGAGUGAGUUUGAGGAGAUUGAAGCGUUUUUGAGAAUUCAGAACUACUGACUAUGGCUGACCAUUAAGAAAUGGAAUCUGAAUGUGCAGAUCUCACGGCUAAAAAUGAAGAGCUGCUGCAAAUGAAAAAUGAGUUUAAUAAAAAAAAUGAAUGCUUUAUACCUCCAGUGGAACCGGAACUGGUUUCCCCUCAAACCACUGCUUGUCGAUAUGGCUACCUUAUUGAUAUAAAGAGUAAGUUUGCUUGAAUUGAUUUUCAAUGUUUUAGUGCAACCAUCCAGGCCUGCAGAUGGUACAGUUAUGUGGCACAAAGAAAAAUGAGUCUCCACUACAGUCUUGUACUCUUUGUAGCCUUUGUGAUUCUAUGUUUUUCAGUUUGUGUGGUUGCCCCUCUUGCAGCAGGCCACAUAUAAUCCCUGCAUGCAGUGUCACCAUAUGGUUCCCCAGAUAUUGCAUGUGUACACUAAAAAAUGCAGACAUUUGGGGGGUUAUUUAUCAAAAUCAAAAUGUAUCUGAUUUUUUAAAUUAAAAAUGUCUGACCAGACUAGAAUCCACGAUUGGACCUUAUUUAUUUUUAUCGAGGAUAAUAUCGAGCAAAAAUCUGGAUCGUAUUUUUUUCUUUCGGAAUUUUUUCUGAAUCGCUCAAUUUUUUCAGACUUUUUCCCAAAAAGUCUGGAUUUAUUAGAUUUUUGCCAGAAAUAGUCAAAUUUUCAGGCUAGUUCCAGCACAGACCACAGAAACUUCCAAAUAGGAUAGGGACCUCUCCUAUUGACUUAUAUGCUGUAUAUACAACCUCGGCAGGUCUGAGAUGGUGGA